Molecule: ribosomal RNA, 498 nt
Filed under: uncultured bacterium
Lineage: Bacteria
Description: partial 16S ribosomal RNA
Rfam family: Bacterial small subunit ribosomal RNA
Source: RNAcentral
ACGAACGCUGGCGGCGUGCCUAAUACAUGCAAGUCGCGCGAAGUUUUUCUGGUGCUUGCACUCGAAAAACUUAGCGGCGACCGGGUGAGUAACACGUAAAGAACCUGCCUCAUAGACUGGGACAACUAUUGGAAACGAUAGCUAAUACCGGAUAACAGCAUUAACUGCAUGGUUGAUGUUUAAAAGUUGGUUUUGCUAACACUAUGAGAUGGCUUUGCGGUGCAUUAGCUAGUUGGUGGGGUAAAGGCCUACCAAGGCGACGAUGCAUAGCCGACCUGAGAGGGUGAUCGGCCACACUGGGACUGAGACACGGCCCAGACUCCUACGGGAGGCAGCAGUAGGGAAUCUUCCGCAAUGGGCGAAAGCCUGACGGAGCAACGCCGCGUGAGUGAAGAAGGAUUUCGGUUCGUAAAGCUCUGUUGUUAGGGAAGAAUGAUUGUGUAGUAACUAUACACAGUAGAGACGGUACCUAACCAGAAAGCCACGGCUAACUACGUG